RNAcentral lists this ribosomal RNA (1936 nucleotides) under human gut metagenome. RNAcentral describes it as "bacterial LSU rRNA". It matches the Rfam family "Bacterial large subunit ribosomal RNA", at positions 505 to 2449 of the family's 2925-position model. The record is from RNAcentral.
GAGGGAAAGGUGAAAAGCACUUCGAACAGAAGAGUGAAAUAGUCCCUGAACCCAUACGCCUACAAGCUGUCGGAGCCGCUUCGUGCGGUGACGGCGUGCCUUUUGCAUAAUGAGCCUACGAGUUACUCAUCACCAGCGAGGUUAAGUACUUCAGGUACGUAAGCCGAAGCGAAAGCGAGUCUGAAUAGGGCGUCAAGUUGGUGGUGGUAGACGCGAAACCUUAGUGAUCUACCCAUGGGCAGGGUGAAGGUUUGGUAACACAAACUGGAGGCCCGAACCGGUAAACGUUGAAAAGUUUUCGGAUGACCUGUGGGUAGGGGUGAAAGGCCAAUCAAACUGGGAAAUAGCUCGUACUCUCCGAAAUGCAUUUAGGUGCAGCCUCUGUUGUUUUGUUCUAGAGGUAGAGCUACUGAUUGGAUGCGAGGGCUUCACCGCCUAUCAAAUCCGGCCAAACUCCGAAUGCUAGAACAUAAAGACAGGGAGUGAGCCAGCGGGUGCUAAGGUCCGUUGACGAAAGAGGGAGAACUCAGACCAUCAGCUAAGGUCCCCAAUUAUAUGCUAAGUUGGAAUAAAAACGGGGUGGGACUGCUUAGACAGCUAGGAUGUUGGCUUGGAAGCAGCCAUUCAUUUAAAGAGUGCGUAACAGCUCACUAGUCGAGCGGUCCUGCAUGGAUAAUACGCGGGCAUAAGCAUAUAACCGAAGCUAUGGGAUUGUAGAUGAUACAAUCGGUAGGAGAGCAUUCCAUUCAGCAUAGAAGCAGUAUCGUGAGGUAUUGUGGAGCGGAUGGAAAAGCAAAUGUAGGCAUAAGUAACGAUAAUGCGGGUGAGAACCCCGCACGCCGAAAGAUCAAGGAUUCCCCGGCAAUGUCAAUCAUCCGGGGGUAAGUCGGAUCCUAAGGGUAAGCCGAGUGGCGAUCCCGAUGGUAAACAGGUUAAUAUUCCUGUACUGAUCAUAACUGCGAUGCAGCGACGCAGAGGUGACACUGCUGCGUACUGACGGAAUAGUACGUUGAAACCCGUAUUCUUUGAUACCGGUAGUGAAGCACGCCGGUAGAGAUGAAAGGUGAUAGUACCGCAAUGCUUCGGUUGCGCGGAUAAUGCAGGUAAGCUGACUGCCAAGAAAACCUGCUAAGCUUCAGGUAAUGAUCAUCCGUACUGUAAACGGACACACGUGAUCAGGUAGAAAAUACUAAGGCGCUCGAGAGAUUCAUGGUUAAGGAACUAGGCAAAAUGGUCCUGUAACUUCGGGAUAAAGGACGCUCUUGUGAAAGAGCCGCAGAUAAUAGGCCCAGGCGACUGUUUACCAAAAACACAUGGCUAUGCUAAUUCGCAAGAAGAUGUAUAUGGCCUGACACCUGCCCGGUGCCGGAAGGUUAAGAGGAGAGCUCAGAGGUAACUCGAAGGUUUGAAUUGAAGCCCCGGUAAACGGCGGCCGUAACUAUAACGGUCCUAAGGUAGCGAAAUUCCUUGUCGGGUAAGUUCCGACCUGCACGAAUGGUGUAACGAUCUGGGUACUGUCUCAACCAUGAGCUCGGUGAAAUUGUAGUUCCGGUGAAGAUGCCGGAUACCCGCAACGGGACGGAAAGACCCCGUGAACCUUUACUGCAGCUUUGCAUUGAUUUUGGGUAACAGAUGUGUAGGAUAGGUCGGAGGCUUUGAUGCUGCGUCGUCAGGCGUAGAGUAGCCGUCGUUGAAAUACGACCCUUUUGUUAUCUGAGGUCUAAUCCCGUUAGGGAGACAUUGCAUGGUGGGUAGUUUGACUGGGGUGGUCGCCUCCAAAAGUGUAACGGAGGCUUCUCAAGGUACCCUCAAGGCGUUUGGUAAUCGUCUGCAGAGUGCAAUGGCAUAAGGGUGCUUGACUGUGAGACCGACACGUCGAUCAGGUUGGAAACAAGAGCAUAGUGAUCCGGUGGUUCCGCAUGGAAGGGCCAUCGCU